This 249-nucleotide ribosomal RNA is filed under the name uncultured bacterium. Its description in RNAcentral is "partial 16S ribosomal RNA". It matches the Rfam family "Bacterial small subunit ribosomal RNA", at positions 523 to 769 of the family's 1533-position model. The record is from RNAcentral.
AUACGUAGGGGGCAAGCGUUGUCCGGAUUCACUGGGCGUAAAGCGCGCGCAGGCGGUGAUGUAAGUCUGAGGUGAAAACCCGAAGCUCAACUUCGGGACUGCCUUGGAUACUGCGUCACUUGAGGAUAGGAGAGGCAAGGGGAAUUCCACGUGUAGCGGUGAAAUGCGUAGAGAUGUGGAGGAACACCUGUGGCGAAGGCGCCUUGCUGGCCUUAUUUCUGACGCUGAGGCGACGAAAGCGUGGGGAGC